GAUUCACAUGGUGGGAGGGGCAGGAAGUAGAGGCCCAGUGAUAUACUGGUUAUGAUUACAUUUUCUGAAGUAGCUGAAACCAUCAUUGCUAUUUGCUGUAAGCAUGUCGACAUCUCCUCCUCUCCCCCCUCCCCACCCCUUUGUCUGGUCAUUGGGUUGCUGAUGUUCUUAGUUCCCUUUCCACAUAUGGCUCCCAGACCACACUCGGUCUCCCUGCCAGCAUAGUUGGGGUGGGAGGCUGAGGAGAAUGUGCAGAGAUGAUUCAAGAAAGACCCUAUGAGAUUGUCCAGUUUUUUGCAAGGCAGAUAAGGUAUUCCCUUCCCCUCACCAGAGAUGAGGAAGCAGCCGUGUCUCAUUGAGAAGUAACCCUACGGAACUUGAAUUGACUUUCUCUAUCCCCCUCUCCAGUUCUCAGCCUAGAAUUACUUCUGCCUGAAGUGUUCAUAAAGGGACAAAAAGCCACAUUUGAUAUAUUCAAAAUGUAGGUGCCCUGCAAAGACUUGGGGAAGGAUGAUGUGAAUAGAUGGAAUUGAAGCCAGUAGCCUAUGGCUUCUAAGGGUGGGUCUGGAAUAAAUAGAAAUGAAGGUAGUAUCUAGUUUUCAGAGUGGAGGAUGGGCAGGUUGUAGCCUUUCUUUACUCCAGUCAACCUUCCAAAAUCCCUCCUAAAGGGAUGCAAAAUAGAGCAGAAUUGUCCUGUAAACAUUUAGCUACUACUAUACUGAACAUGGGUGAAGGGGUGGGGUUAGGGCAUCUGUUACCUCAGCCAGUUGUAGCUGAAGAGAUUUGGGGGAGGGAGGGCAGGGUCCAACACUGCCCCAAGCCUUUUAGUUUCCAAUUUCUCUGUGUCAGCUGUGUUGCUCAGCUGUCCACUCUCCUCUAGCCCUGUCACUUAAGCUGUGACGCUGAAGGGAGAGGCUAGGUCUGCACACACCAGCUGGGGAGACGUGAGCACCAAGGGUAUUUUGGGGGUAUAAAGCCCCCCAGGCAAGAGGACAAAGCCUUCCUUUUCCAUUCCCAUCCAACACCAACACCAAGCCUCCUAACCUGGCAUCCUCUUUCCUCCACUGGCUGUGGACUGACAUAGGGAAUCCCAAACGUAAGUUGCCUUUUCCUACUAGUUGCCAGACAGUGGCUCCUUGGGUUCCCAAACCCCUCAGUCAGUUCAACUCUCCCAUUUGUCUCAACUGGCUAUUAAGUAGUUUGGGGUAUAUAGGUUCCAGUCAUUUCUUUCCCUGAAGAAAGGGCUGGGAUCAGGAAAAAGGUUGGGGAGUUAAUGUCUAGGGAAUAGAGUAGUAGAGAAGGGAGGUCAUAUUACAUUGAAACUUAAAAAUAGCCAACCCCCAAGGCAGGCUGGGACAGGGCCUGACUUGGAGGUGGUGUUAAAACCCACUCCCACCCUUAGGCUUGGAGAGAUGGGGGGAGCUGGAAUCCUCUACCUCUCUACUCCAAAGUCAGAAUCUGGGGGAGGGGGAAAAGGAAUCCAGGGAAAAGUUCUAUGGGGUCGUAUAUAACUGCCUAUAGCCUUGAAGAAAAGAGAAAGCCCCAAAAUGAGAAGUCUAUCUUGGUGGAACUUCUACAAGAGAAUGGAGAUAGCCUUUGUGUAGGCUGUCUUCUGUAGGCCCACUUGGUCAUCUCCCAAUCUGGGCCCUUUUAUGGAGUCUCCUUGUUUAGGCUCCUUUGUUUAGUCUCUCAUUCUGGAAGCGGGGGAUAGAGACCCUCUUUGUGUGUCUCUCAGCUUAAGAGCCCUGCAGUUCUCUUCCCAAGGCUCUAUUUGUCCUAGCCUACAAGGUGAGUCUCUAGGAGUAAGAAAGGGAGGGGGGAGGGGAGGCAAGGAAGGAUAAGAAUCUACAGUGGGAUCCCCACUUUUGCAGGAUGACAGAAAAAGAGGUUCUGGAUUCUCCCAAAUCCUUCACAGCAGAAACACCAAAGAGUGGGCUACAAAGGCUGAAGCAAUUAUUCAGAAAGGAGACUGUAGAAAGAAAGGAGAUGGAGCUCCCCCCUGAGCCUCAGGCCAAUGGAGAGGCAGUAGGGGCUCAAGGGGGACCCAUCUACUACAUCUAUGAGGAGGAAGAAGAGGAAGAAGAGGAGGAAGAGAAGGAGCCACCCCCUGAACCCCCUAAGCCUGUCAAUGACAAGCCCCAUAAGUUCAAAGAUCAUUUCUUCAAGAAGCCCAAAUUCUGUGAUGUCUGUGCCAGAAUGAUUGUUCUUAACAACAAAUUUGGGCUACGAUGCAAGAACUGCAAAACCAAUAUCCAUGAACACUGCCAAUCCUUUGUGGAGAUGCAGAGAUGCUUUGGCAAGAUUCCUCCUGGUUUCCGCCGUGCCUACAGUUCUCCACUCUAUAGUGACCAGCAAUAUGCCUGUGUCAAGGACCUACUCUCCAACCGAAAUGACCCUGUUUUUGAGACACUUCGAACUGGAGUGAUCAUGGCAAACAAAGAACGGAAGAAGGGACAAGCAGAUAAAAAGACCCCUCUAGCAGCCAUGAUGGAGGAGGAGCCAGAAGCCCCCAAAACUGAGGAAGGAAAACCCCAGGCUGGAAAUCCGGAGGGAGACAAGAAGACUGACAAAAAGACAGCUGAGGAUAAAAACAAGCAGCCUGGAUUCCAGCAGUCUCACUACUUUGUGGCCCUCUAUCGGUUCAAGGCUUUGGAAAAGGAUGAUCUGGACUUUCCGGCAAGAUUGGGGAGAAGGUUGGAUUUUUUCCCCAAAAUUUCAUCAUCCGAGUCAGGGCUGGUGAGCGUGUGCACCGGGUGACUAGAUCCUUUGUGGGAAACCGUGAAAUUGGGCAGAUAACGCUCAAGAAGGACCAGAUUGUGGUGCAGAAAGGGGACGAAGCUGGUGGUUAUGUCAAAGUCUACACUGGUCGGAAGGUGGGGCUAUUUCCCACCGACUUCCUGGAGGAAAUUUAGGGGUGCAGGUGCCCCAAGCAAACCAGAAUCAUAUUCAGUGCCUACUAUGUACCAGGCACUGUGUGAUUUACAAAAACAGAACGAUCCCUGCCCUCUCUUUAGGAGAGAACACUCCCUUACUCCACUUUGGGCUGAAUUGUGGGGAGGGGUGGAAGUUAGGGCAGCUCACUUCCAGGGGGUGCUAUAUUCUAAGAGGGCUGGUUCCCCCUUAAACUCGCCUCCCUCGUGUGAGACUUUCAGUACUGGGCAUGCAGCGGCACCUUACCCCCCCCACACGAACACUCCCCGGCUUCCCUGAACUUCCGCACUGGUGAUUGAUAUUGGGGAGUAGGAGGAAAGGCCUCCUUUAAGGCUGGGUAGGUCGGGAGCGGGGAGUCCAGGAGGCCAAGUUGUAGGCAGAGCCCUUAGCUCUUUAAAGUUUUGUGGGGAAAGGGCUGGAAGAAAAUUGUUUCUUUAAAUUAAGAGUCUUUUUUAAAAUCUUUGUUACAAGGCAGGACUUGCCUGAAAGGGGGGAUAGGAAUCUAUUCAGAAAUGAAGUUGUUGUAAAAACAAAGAAUCGAUUAAAAACAAUUUACAAAAA
RNA transcript from Trichosurus vulpecula (common brushtail), 3492 nucleotides. It is a transcript of the gene named SH3 and cysteine rich domain 3, with no coding region annotated. Lineage: Eukaryota; Metazoa; Chordata; Mammalia; Diprotodontia; Phalangeridae. The record is from RefSeq and is a predicted model, not a curated record. The transcript is spliced from 10 exons.